GGGUUGUGAGGUUAAGCGACUAAGCGUACACGGUGGAUGCCCUGGCAGUCAGAGGCGAUGAAGGACGUGCUAAUCUGCGAUAAGCGUCGGUAAGGUGAUAUGAACCGUUAUAACCGGCGAUUUCCGAAUGGGGAAACCCAGUGUGUUUCGACACACUAUCAUUAACUGAAUCCAUAGGUUAAUGAGGCGAACCGGGGGAACUGAAACAUCUAAGUACCCCGAGGAAAAGAAAUCAACCGAGAUUCCCCCAGUAGCGGCGAGCGAACGGGGAGCAGCCCAGAGCCUGAAUCAGUGUGUGUGUUAGUGGAAGCGUCUGGAAAGGCGCGCGAUACAGGGUGACAGCCCCGUACACAAAAAUGCACAUAUUGUGAGCUCGAUGAGUAGGGCGGGACACGUGGUAUCCUGUCUGAAUAUGGGGGGACCAUCCUCCAAGGCUAAAUACUCCUGACUGACCGAUAGUGAACCAGUACCGUGAGGGAAAGGCGAAAAGAACCCCGGCGAGGGGAGUGAAAAAGAACCUGAAACCGUGUACGUACAAGCAGUGGGAGCACGCUUAGGCGUGUGACUGCGUACCUUUUGUAUAAUGGGUCAGCGACUUAUAUUCUGUAGCAAGGUUAACCGAAUAGGGGAGCCGAAGGGAAACCGAGUCUUAACUGGGCGUUAAGUUGCAGGGUAUAGACCCGAAACCCGGUGAUCUAGCCAUGGGCAGGUUGAAGGUUGGGUAACACUAACUGGAGGACCGAACCGACUAAUGUUGAAAAAUUAGCGGAUGACUUGUGGCUGGGGGUGAAAGGCCAAUCAAACCGGGAGAUAGCUGGUUCUCCCCGAAAGCUAUUUAGGUAGUGCCUCGUGAAUUCAUCUCCGGGGGUAGAGCACUGUUUCGGCAAGGGGGUCAUCCCGACUUACCAACCCGAUGCAAACUGCGAAUACCGGAGAAUGUUAUCACGGGAGACACACGGCGGGUGCUAACGUCCGUCGUGAAGAGGGAAACAACCCAGACCGCCAGCUAAGGUCCCAAAGUCAUGGUUAAGUGGGAAACGAUGUGGGAAGGCCCAGACAGCCAGGAUGUUGGCUUAGAAGCAGCCAUCAUUUAAAGAAAGCGUAAUAGCUCACUGGUCGAGUCGGCCUGCGCGGAAGAUGUAACGGGGCUAAACCAUGCACCGAAGCUGCGGCAGCGACGCUUAUGCGUUGUUGGGUAGGGGAGCGUUCUGUAAGCCUGUGAAGGUGUGCUGUGAGGCAUGCUGGAGGUAUCAGAAGUGCGAAUGCUGACAUAAGUAACGAUAAAGCGGGUGAAAAGCCCGCUCGCCGGAAGACCAAGGGUUCCUGUCCAACGUUAAUCGGGGCAGGGUGAGUCGACCCCUAAGGCGAGGCCGAAAGGCGUAGUCGAUGGGAAACAGGUUAAUAUUCCUGUACUUGGUGUUACUGCGAAGGGGGGACGGAGAAGGCUAUGUUGGCCGGGCGACGGUUGUCCCGGUUUAAGCGUGUAGGCUGGUUUUCCAGGCAAAUCCGGAAAAUCAAGGCUGAGGCGUGAUGACGAGGCACUACGGUGCUGAAGCAACAAAUGCCCUGCUUCCAGGAAAAGCCUCUAAGCAUCAGGUAACAUCAAAUCGUACCCCAAACCGACACAGGUGGUCAGGUAGAGAAUACCAAGGCGCUUGAGAGAACUCGGGUGAAGGAACUAGGCAAAAUGGUGCCGUAACUUCGGGAGAAGGCACGCUGAUAUGUAGGUGAAGUCCCUCGCGGAUGGAGCUGAAAUCAGUCGAAGAUACCAGCUGGCUGCAACUGUUUAUUAAAAACACAGCACUGUGCAAACACGAAAGUGGACGUAUACGGUGUGACGCCUGCCCGGUGCCGGAAGGUUAAUUGAUGGGGUCAGCGCAAGCGAAGCUCUUGAUCGAAGCCCCGGUAAACGGCGGCCGUAACUAUAACGGUCCUAAGGUAGCGAAAUUCCUUGUCGGGUAAGUUCCGACCUGCACGAAUGGCGUAAUGAUGGCCAGGCUGUCUCCACCCGAGACUCAGUGAAAUUGAACUCGCUGUGAAGAUGCAGUGUACCCGCGGCAAGACGGAAAGACCCCGUGAACCUUUACUAUAGCUUGACACUGAACAUUGAGCCUUGAUGUGUAGGAUAGGUGGGAGGCUUUGAAGUGUGGACGCCAGUCUGCAUGGAGCCGGCCUUGAAAUACCACCCUUUAAUGUUUGAUGUUCUAACGUUGACCCGUAAUCCGGGUUGCGGACAGUGUCUGGUGGGUAGUUUGACUGGGGCGGUCUCCUCCUAAAGAGUAACGGAGGAGCACGAAGGUUGGCUAAUCCUGGUCGGACAUCAGGAGGUUAGUGCAAUGGCAUAAGCCAGCUUGACUGCGAGCGUGACGGCGCGAGCAGGUGCGAAAGCAGGUCAUAGUGAUCCGGUGGUUCUGAAUGGAAGGGCCAUCGCUCAACGGAUAAAAGGUACUCCGGGGAUAACAGGCUGAUACCGCCCAAGAGUUCAUAUCGACGGCGGUGUUUGGCACCUCGAUGUCGGCUCAUCACAUCCUGGGGCUGAAGUAGGUCCCAAGGGUAUGGCUGUUCGCCAUUUAAAGUGGUACGCGAGCUGGGUUUAGAACGUCGUGAGACAGUUCGGUCCCUAUCUGCCGUGGGCGCUGGAGAACUGAGGGGGGCUGCUCCUAGUACGAGAGGACCGGAGUGGACGCAUCACUGGUGUUCGGGUUGUCAUGCCAAUGGCACUGCCCGGUAGCUAAAUGCGGAAGAGAUAAGUGCUGAAAGCAUCUAAGCACGAAACUUGCCCCGAGAUGAGUUCUCCCUGACCCUUUAAGGGUCCUGAAGGAACGUUGAAGACGACGACGUUGAUAGGCCGGGUGUGUAAGCGCAGCGAUGCGUUGAGCUAACCGGUACUAAUGAACCGUGAGGCUUAACCUUACAACGCCGAAG
Molecule: ribosomal RNA, 2925 nt
Filed under: Escherichia coli
Lineage: Bacteria; Pseudomonadati; Pseudomonadota; Gammaproteobacteria; Enterobacterales; Enterobacteriaceae
Description: 23S ribosomal RNA
Rfam family: Bacterial large subunit ribosomal RNA
Source: RNAcentral